AUAUUAAGUUUGUUAUUUUGAUAAGAAAAGGAAAAUUAAUUAAACCAAAGAACAAAGUUUGUUAACAACAGUGGGUGUUAACUCCCAAAACGAGGGGGACCCAGAAAAUUUGGCGACAUCAGCCCACUCAACCAAUGCAUGAGUAGCCAGGUUGUUACCUCUGGGGAUCCAAUUGGCAGUACAAUGAAACUCACUCGAACCACAAAAUAACAUAUCACACAAGCCAGCAAGACGCAAAGCGCGCCACCUCCGAAGAGAAGCCGCAUUACACACCUCCUGGCAGUCUGUGACGAAUGCCCUGAUCUCUACCACCAACGCCAAAUCUGCCUUGAAAUAAACAUUCCUAAUUCCAAGAACUACUCCCAACCCCGAGUAAGCCACUACCCCAGCAGCCCUUUCUCCGAGUUUGUAAUACCCAUCACAAGCAAUGCAAAUAGGAUGACCAACCUGAGAGAAAGUCCCAAGGGUAUCCAUAGGGGUUGGCUCGUCAAACUUAGCACCAACAUCAUGCUUCAGCUCCGCAGUCCUCUUGUCAAUAUCAUGCACCAGCAAGGAAGGAGUGGCCACUCUUCCCUCAUGGAUUCUCUUAUUUCUGGCCCACCAAAGGGCUCACAGAUGGCUGCGACAAAAACAGUGAACUCCAAUUUGCUGCAACUAUCCAAAGAGAGGAGAAAAUCCACAUUAAAGAGCCAGUGAACUCGUUCAAAACCAGAAUUAAAAUGGAGCUCAUCAACUCUCACUCCCCACUUACUAGAAAACAAGAUAGAAUAAGCCAGUGGGAAAUAGAAGAAAGUAUGCAGAGCAUCAUCAAUAGCAUCAAGGCAAUGACUACAGAGGAUAGGCCUUCUAGUACUAGUACCCAGUUUAUGACCCGUGGGGAGGCAAUCGGAAGAAAUCUUCCAAAGCAACAGCCUUUGCCUCUCCUGAAUAGGGGCUCGCCAAAUAGAGGACCAUAAAGGGGUGUCCUUGACAAAUCUUCUCUUAUUGAGAGACCAGUACACUUGCUUCAUCGAUAAGUUCCCAUCCUUUGAGUCUUUCCAAGUUAGAACAUCAUUGGAAACAAGGGAGAGUUUCUGCAUAUUCAAAAUCCGCUGGGCACACCCAAGGGUAAACCAACGAUUGAUAAGGUCACUUCUCCAAUUUCCCAUCUCAUCCAACAGGGAGCAAACCAAUCGCUGAUCUUCGAGGAUGAUUGGAUUGAAGGUGGCUCCACGAUUGUCUCAACUCUCUUAGAAAAACCAAGGGGAAUGAAACACAUCGAUAGAACGCCCACUACCAAUCAGAUAGUUGCUUUCUUGCGGACUAAAGUCUCUGAAAAUGAUGAUACCUCUAGCAACAAAGGAGGAGGAAGUGGGACAGUUAGCUUUCCAAAUAUUAUUAGAGGAAAGGUAUUUUCCUGAGAAGACUUUACACCACAAAGAAUUAGCAUUUAAACCUAACUCCCAUCCCAAUUUAGACACGAGAGAUAUAUUAAAGUCACCAGUCCUAUGAAAGCCAAGCCCACCACAUGAUUUAGGCUUGCAAAUGGAAUCCCAGCUGACCAAAGCCAUGAACCGCUCAUGGUCCGAGCGCCCUAGCCACCAAAACUUACGAGUAGCUUUAUCAAUAGACUCACAAAUAGUUUUAGGAAGGAGGAAAGAUGACAUGCUAUAGACAGGAAUACAAUGAAUCAAACAUCAAAUCAAAGUAGCUCUCUCUGCAUGGGAUAGAAGUUUAAAGCUCCAACCCUUAAGAUGCUGGCUGACCUUGUCAAUCACAAAGCUGAAAUCUGAGACCUUACUUUUUGUGAGGAAUAAAGGGUUGCCAAGGAAUCUUUCCAACUCUACCAUAGCAUUGAAGCCCAAGACCUCCUGAAUACUAUAUUGCUGGGAAACCGAAGUCCACAAGAGAAAAACACAUUGGACUUCCUAUCGUUAAUCACCUGUUUAGACCAGGUACAGAAAUUAGUAAGGAUUUCCUUGUUUGUAAGUGUUUCUUCCACAGUAGCUUUGAAAAACACCAUGAUAUCGUCGGCGUACAUAAGGUGAGAUAUAGGGGAAAUUCCUAUUCACCUUAUACCCUGAAAUAAGACCAUUGGCCUCCGCAUUUAUCAACAUGUGGGACAACACUACACUCCCCAAGAUGAAUAAAUAGGGAGAUAGCGGGUCUCCUUAACGAAGGCCCUGUUGAGGAGAAUCGAAUAAUAAACCAAAGACAAACAAUGCGCCACUAGGCUCUUGAACUUGUCUCCAAAAUCGAAACACCGAAGCACAUUAUCAAGGAAGUCCCACUCCAUACGGUCAUAAGGUUUGGACAUAUCAACCUUAGUUCCCACCACUUUACUUUCUUGCUGGUCACGACUCAUAGAAUGGACGAUUUCCUGGGUGAGGAUGGUGUUCUAGCAAUCCAUCUUCCCAGCACAAGGCUGACUAGAAUGGGGAGAUAAGAGAAGGAAGAAUAAACCUUUACCUGUUUUCCAACAGUUUAGAAACCACCUUGUAGACCACGUUACACAAGCUGGUAGGUCUAAAAUCAUCAAAUUUAUGAGCAUGCUGUCGUUUGGGGAUGAGAACAAUGAAGGAAUGGUUAAACCCUUAGACGAAUUUACCAUGGAUAAAAAUUCUUGCAUGAACUGGACAACAUCUUCCCCCGCAACCUGCCAAUGAUCUUUGUAAAACUUUGUCGGCAUCCCAUUAGGGCUCGGGGCUUUCAACGAAGGAAUACACCAAACAACACUCCUAACUUCCUCACCUGAAGAGAUCUCAAUCAAAGAUGCAUUCAUCUCAACACUAACAACACUAGGAAUUAAGUUGACAAGAUUGGGGACGGGAGGCAGCUUCGAAGAUUUGAACACUUCUCAAAAGUUGCCAAGGAAAUAAUCUCCCACCUCUGUUCUGCUAUGAAUUCAAUUCUCCCCAUCAUCCAAAACCGCCUAGAUGUGGUUUUUAUUUCUCCUCACAAGGGUCGACAUGUGGAAGAACCUAGAGUUUUGAUCCCCCCUGUUUCAACCAUGUCUCCCUAGACUUCUGAGCCCAAAUCAUAGCUUGUCUUGUUUUAACCUCCUGGAUCUCAAGUUGGAUAGACGCCUAAAGUUCAACAUUAUGAGUGAGUGGGGGUCUAUUUUGGAAAUCUGUUAAGAAAUUGGUAAGGAUCUUCAACUUUUCAUUGCAAAAACCAAAAUACUCCUAGUUCCACUUCUUUAGAGCAUUCGACGUGGUACCAAGCUUGACCAUAAGUUUAAAACUAGAGACUCAUCUAACUUCGACCCUCCAAGCCUCCUCAAUAACAUGUCUGCACCUCGGGUCGUGACUCCAGACAUCAAGAUAUCUUAAUGGAUAAUGUACUCUCUCAUUUUCCUUAACCAAAUCCACAACCAGAGGGGCGUGGUCCGAGUUCAGGCGGGCCUCAACCCCGAAUUUAGGGAAAGCCUCAAGCCAUCGAGAAUCACAAAUAGCACGAUCCAACCACUAUUUGACUAAAUGAUUAAUAUUGUAAUGACCCGAAUUUGCUAAUCAGGCUUAGGGUCUUGAUUAGUGUGCCUGGAGGGCAAUAAGUGAUUUAAUAUGCUAAUAUGUGGAUUUAUGUGAAUAUGUGAUAAUGAUGCAUGUUUAAUUGAGUUAAAUGUGCAUGUGGGCCCCAUCUGGAUAUUAGGGCCAUAAGUGUGAUAAAUGUGAUAAAUGUUAUAUAUAUGUGAUAUGUCUGUGCAGCACGAUCCAAGACAGUCCUGGGGAGCGGUUAGCCAGGAAGUCACAACGGGGUUGAGAAUCUGACUCGGGGCGAGUCGAGGGGUAAUUUGGGUACUAGGUGUGUUAUGGGAUUAUCGGGACAUGAAAAUAAAUAUUUGGAGAUAUAUUUGAGGAUAGAAUGUCUAGGCGGGAGUAUUGGGGAAAAUUUACCAUUUUGCCCUCGGGGACGUUUUGGUACCCUGAGCCUUGAGGUGGCCAUAUAGACAUAAGUUGAAUAAGACAAAUCUUAGAACUAUUCAGAACACUUAGGGAACCGACUCAUUUUCUCUCUAAGCAAGUGGAUGUUUUUCUCUUUGGAGACUUAAGGAGAAAUUGGAAGAAUUGGCUAGAAACUAGAAGGAUUUCAGCUGAGAAAUCUUGGGAAGCUUGGAGCUUGACGAUUGAAGAUCAACUUCUGGGAUUGAAUUCAGCAAGGGGUAAGCUUUAAUUAUAAGAAUAUGCCUAGAUUUGCUGCUGGUUUGGAAGAGUUUGCAUGUUGGUUAAGUUUGAUCUGUUUUAAGUGUUUUGGUUGAGCUUUGGAGUAGGAUUCAAUGGGGUUUUGGUGCUGUUAUUGAGCUGAAAUGAUGGUGCUGGUUAUCUUGAAUUAUUAGUUAAGGUUAGGAUGAAUUGGCUUGAGGAAAGGUUUAGAGAAAUGGUGUGAAAAUCUAGGUUCGGUGGGGAGGGGCGCGCCGUGGCCCGUGUGCGCGUGCGGCCAUGGGAGGCCGAGAAGUUCAUGCGCGACGCAGCCCAUGUGUGUUGCAGGGGUGUGCUAGCCUCUGUUUUGAGGCUAGUCGUGGCUCUUGGGGGUGGGGUCGCAGCCCUUAGUGCCAGUUUGAGUUUUUAAGGGCAUUUAGGCUUGGGAACUCAAUGGGUAAGGCUCGGGAUGGAUUUUAUCACCCGAAUUGAUAGAAUUCAAGGUCCCAGAGGUUAGGGUUAUGGCUCGAAGUUAUUUAUUGGAUUAGAACUUGAUGGAUGGAUAUUGUUAAUGUGUUGUGACUAGGGUUUUGGCGAGGCUCAAAUUAGAGGACUUUGCUCGGGGCAUCGGUGCUAAAAAAGCUCGGGACUCAGGUAAGAAAACCCUUGUUCCCAUAGAGCUUGUGUGCAGGGCUGAGCCCAAUGUGUUUGAGUAGAAAUGCUAUGCUGGGCUGAGCCCAAUAUGUUAGAACUGCGGGGCGUAGCCCUUUAGCUGAGUAUGCUAGAAUUCUGUACUUGUUUGCUAUAUUGUGUAUGCUAUGAUGUGAGUGAUCGGCAAGAGCCGGGAAUGGUGUAGACCGGGAACGACAUUAGGCACAUUGAGUGCAAGGCCGAGAACAGCAAGGGGCCAGGAGCAGCAUUGAGCACGUGGAGUGCGAGUUGCCAGGGCGAGUCCCUAGAAGGUACCUGGGAUAUCCUCAUGGCGUGGUCCGCGAACCCAGGGCUUGGUAAACGCCUGGGACGGCUAGGUCAUAUGUGUGUUAGCCCAUUAGUGGCCUGUUUAUAUGCUUGAUAUAUGUGUUGCAUAUGUUAUCUGUUUGUGGGUUUUCUUGCUGGGCUUCGGCUCACAGAUGCUCUGUGGUGCAGGUAAGGGUAAAUAGAAAGUCAACCAACCAUGAGUACGGCAGGUGUAAGGCGGCGUGUACAUGUUUGGCCAGCCUAGCUGCCAUAGCCAGAGGAUUUUGGGAGAUGCUUGUAAAUGAACUUAGAUUUUGUCGUUUAUUCGACUUGGUUCAAUUUUUAUGUUGUAAAUGUUUCUAAACUGUAUUUUGGGAUCCCAGGUGUCAAACUUUUAUGGUUUCAAUGAAAUGGAAUUAUUUGUAAAGUUUUUCUUUUGUUUAUAGCUUAAUCACACUGUUUAUUCUAAAACCUCGAUUAGCGAGUUGAUCGCACAUCUUUAAACUCACUUAGUAAUGGCUCUAAGGUAGUUGGGCAUUACAACUUGGUAUCAGAGCGAGCCAAGGUUAUUGGUUCUGGAGAUUGACCGAACAUGUACACACGCUGUCAGAGAUAGGCUUAACUCAGGGUUGGUUGGUAAGAUUGGCUAACAUGUUUGAAUACGUGUUUGAAUGCCCUGAAUGCCUGCUUAUUUUAUAUAGAGCAUGAUGAAUGAGUUAACAUAUGCAUGCGCUAGGGCAUGGCCCAUUGUGUGUUAUAUGUUAUAUGAGAUGUUAUUUGUGGAUGACUGAUGUAUUUGGGAGGUGGUCUUUGGAUGUUGUUAUCAUGCCUAAUGAGCAGCGUCGUUGGUUGCAGACAUAUUUGUUGAGAUGCCUCGACAAUCAGCUAGACUCCGCGACAGUAGGGUCGAGGAUGACAACCAGGGUCAGGACCCUCCACCUGCCCCACAGAACUGGCAAGAGAUGUUUGCUGAGAUGGAAGCGAGACUGCAGCAAACAGAGGAAGAGUUGCGACAGAUGAGGCAAUAGGCCCCACCUCAGGUUACUGGGCUGCCAGUGCAGCAGGUUGCAGCGCCAGUACCAGUACAGUCUAUUGAGGAGAAUAGUGGGAACCUUUGUAUGAGAGGUUCAGGAAGCAGCAUCCUUCCACCUUUGAGGGUGGAUCAGACCCACUGCGGGUAGAGCUGUGGAUGAAUAUGAUUGCUUCAAUUCUAGAUUUUAUGAGAGUUCAGGGGAACGAGAGUUUAGCCUAUGCUAGCUACAUGUUCAAAGAGGAUGCCCACAUCUGGUGGGACGUGGUGGUUCAGAGAAGGGAUGUAUUGGUUAUGACCUGGGGGGAAUUCAGAAACUUGUUUAAUGAGAAGUACUACAGUGUGGAAGUACAAGCUACGAAGGUUGAUGAGUUUAUCAACCUGACUGAGAAUCGAUCAACAGUGACAGAGUAUGCUAUUAAGUUUGAUAGAUUGGCAAAGUUUGCGCCAGAUCUAGUGCCGAAUGAUGCAGCAAGGAGGGAUAGAUUCGUGCAGGGGUUGAAUGUCAUGAUCACCCGCGAUGUGAAUAUUACCUUGGAUCCAGGGACUACUACUUAUGGCCAAGCGGUAGACAAGGCCCUUAUUGCUGAAAGGGCCGAAGAUCAGAUUUGGAAGGAUAGUGCUGCUAGGCGCGAUGCUAGGAGGACAGUGCCUCCUUUUGUUGGGUUCAGUCGUGGUGGUGGUUCUAGUGAGCAGAAGAGGAAAGCCCCAGAUCCCUUUGUUCCUUCCAGUUCUGAUAGGAGGGUGCGGGGUGCUUCUACUGGCCGUCAGGGUGGCUGUGAUAACUGGAGGAGUUUUCCUAUGUGUCCGUGGUGCAGACAUCGACACCAGGGUGAGUGCAGGAUCAGGGCCUGCUUUGUUUGUGGGAGUGCUAGUCAUCUAAAGAGGGAUUGCCCUCAAGUUAAGAAGGAGGAGCAGAAGCAGAGUGACAGUCUUGCUCCUGCCAGGGUAUUCACUUUGACACAGACUGAGGCAGAGGCUAGCCCUUAGUUGUGACAGGUCAGAUCUCUAGUGCUGGUUCUUUGUAUACUGCAUUGUUUGAUUCAGGGGCUACCCAUUCAUUUGUAUCUGCUAGGGUGAUAGAUCAACUUUGUAGACCUAGUGGUGUGUAUGCUAGGGGAUUUCAGACUUUGUUGCCAACGGGAGAAUCAGUAGUCUCUAGGAGGUGGAUUAGAGCAUUACCAGUAGAGGUAGAUGGUAGGGAGCUAUCUGUUGAUUUGAUUGAGCUGGAGAUGGAUGAUUUUGACAUGAUUCUAGGAAUGGAUUGGUUAUCCAAGUAUGGGGCAACGAUUGACUGCAAGCACAGAAUGGUGACUUUUGAACCAGAAGGGGAGGUACCCUUUAUGUCUGUGGGCUCAGCUAAUGGACCGCGUGUACCAAUGAUUUUAGCCUUAAGGGCUAUGGACCUGAUGCAAGAAGGUUGCAUAGGAUUCCUAGCGAGCGUUGUGGAUACCUCUAAGGCCGUGUCGGUUGGACCGGGUGAGACUAGAUUGGUGCGUGAGUUUCUGGAUUUAUUUCCAGCAAAUCUGCCGAGGUUGCCGCCGCAGAGGGAGAUUGACUUUGUUAUAGAGUUGGUACCAGGCACUACACCAAAUACCCCCUAGCAUAACACAAGAAUAUAAUACACUUGAAAAAGUAUUAUUAUAUACAUAUAUGUGGUAAAAUAAAAAAAUGGCGCUAAUUUAUUUUGGUGCCCGCCUAUUCUUUUUUCCUAGCUAAUUCUUUCUUCCCAGCUAAUUCUUUUUUCCCUUCUUCGCACCCAUUCUUUUUUCCUAGCCCACCACCGUUCUCUUCUUCGCCUAGCCCACUGUUAUCUUCUUCGCACCCAUUCUUUUUUCCUUUCCCACCCAUUCUUCUGCGCCUCUCCCUGCUUGAAAUCUUCCUUUAAGCAUCUCUACCAUCCCGACUGCAUUCUGCCAUGGCUCGCUCACCAUAACUCCUGCCCCGUUUGUCGGUUCCGGUUACCAGCAGAGCAAGCCAAGCUGGACUCUUUUGGGUCCCCGGAAGGGGUUUUGAGGUUAGGGGACUUGAUGAUGGGGGAUGAGGAUUGGUUUGAGGACUGGUAGCGGCAGCGUUAAGAGCUCAUUCUCUCCCAACCAGAUUGCAGAGGUGGAGACAGAGACGGAGACAGAAAGAGACUCUUCGUCCAGUGUUUCUUUCGAUCAGGGCUCGAGGCCAUGGAGAUGAAAUGGAAGAAGAUGGAAGAAGAAGAAGAAGAAGAAUAUGAGGAACAACGAAAGAAGGCACGAAGAGUCUCGGAAACAACAGGAUUGAAAAUCGCUCCAUGUUUCUGCCUAUUCAUUUUCGGCAAGUAGAUGGUAUGAAUGAUUCAUGGCAGUUCCUUCUACCUAAUUCGGCAGCUUCUUUUCUUUGGGAAGAUCUUGGUAGAAGACGUUUGUUGGAACUCCUCAUCGAUGGAGAUGACCAGUCUAAAUCUCAAAAGUUUGAUAUUGAUGAAAUUUCUGCUCAUCAACCCAUGCAUGUUACAAGUGGGACUUCUAGAGCUCUAAGCAUUACGAUAAUAAAAGAAGAGAAAGUCAAUGUUGUUAAGAUCAGUGACUGGUUGCCAGAGAGUGAACCUAUUGGAAUAUUUAGUAAAAAAAGGCACAUCUCCUCUAUCACAGCUUUCUUUAAAGAACCCACCUCAACAGCAAUCAUUGUCCACCUCAGACUCAGAACUUCAUGUUAUUGUUGAAUUAGCUGAGCUUGGAGUAUCAAUCAUUGAUCACACACCUGAAGAAAUUUUGUACCUCUCUGUUCAGACUUUUAUUUUUUCAUAUUCAACUGGCUUGGGCUCUGGAAUUAGUAGGUUCAAAUUAAGAAUGCAUGGGAUACAAGUGGAUAAUCAGCUGCCAUUAACUCCAAUGCCAGUUCUUUUCAGACCACAGAAAGUUGGGGAUGAGACUGAUUAUAUCUUGAAAUUUUCUGUGACCAUGCAAUCAAACAGGUCACUGGAUCUUUGUGUCUAUCCAUAUAUUGGUUUUUAUGGUCCUGAAAAUGUUGCCUUCCUGAUAAACAUUCAUGAACCUAUUAUAUGGCGCCUUCAUGAAAUGAUCCAGCAAGUCAACUUCAAUCGCUUAUAUGAUAACCAAACCUCUGCCGUUGCUGUUGAUCCAAUUAUCCAAAUUGGAGUUCUUAACAUCUCAGAAGUUCGGUUCAAGGUGUCAAUGGCUAUGUCACCCAGUCAACGACCAAGGGGUGUACUUGGCUUUUGGGCAUCAUUGAUGACUGCACUGGGAAACAUUGAGAAUAUGCCAGUUAGAAUAAAUCAAAGGUUUCAUGAGAAUGUGUGCUUGAGGCAGAGUUCAAUGACAAAUAUUGCUAUUUCAAACAUACGGAAGGAUCUCCUUGGCCAACCUCUUCAAUUGCUUUCUGGUGUUGAUAUAUUGGGUAACGCAAGCAGUGCACUUGGACAUAUGAGUAAGGGUAUGGCUGCCUUAUCAAUGGAUAAGAAUUUCAUUCAAAGUCGGUAGAGACAGGAAAACAAGGGCAGAGAGGAUCUUGGUGAUGUUAUUAGAGAAGGAGGUGGUGCACUAGCAAAAGACCUAUUCAGGGGAGUCACUGGAAUAUUAACAAAGCCUCUUGAAGGUGCAAAAACUUCUGGUGUUGAGGGUUUUGUUCAAGGUGUUGGAAGCGGACUAAUUGGUGCAGCGGCACAACCAGUUAGUGGGGUUCUGGAUCUUUUGUCAAAAACCACAGAAGGAGCCAAUGCAAUGAGAAUGAAGAUAGCAUCAGCUAUAACUUUUGAUGAACAACCUCUUCGCAGGAGACUUCCUCGCGUAAUUAGUGGUGAUAAUUUACUCCAGCCUUAUGACGAGAACAAAGCUCGAGGACAGAAGUACGUGGAAAGUUUGCCUUAACUGAUCAGGUUCCUUUUUAGGCGAGGUUGAUCUUUUUAAAGUACGUGGAAAGUUUGCCUUAACUGAUGCUUAUGAAGAUCAUUUCUUAAUCCCAAAAUAAAAAAUUCUUGUGGUUACUCAUCGAAGAGUGAUAUUAUUACA
This is an RNA transcript of Humulus lupulus (European hop), 10106 nucleotides long. It is a transcript of the gene named intermembrane lipid transfer protein vps1301-like, with no coding region annotated. The transcript is spliced from 8 exons. Lineage: Eukaryota; Viridiplantae; Streptophyta; Magnoliopsida; Rosales; Cannabaceae. The record is from RefSeq and is a predicted model, not a curated record.